GCAGUGUACCCGCGGCAAGACGGAAAGACCCCGUGAACCUUUACUAUAGCUUGACACUGAACAUUGAGCCUUGAUGUGUAGGAUAGGUGGGAGGCUUUGAAGUGUGGACGCCAGUCUGCAUGGAGCCGACCUUGAAAUACCACCCUUUAAUGUUUGAUGUUCUAACGUGGACCCGUAAUCCGGGUUGCGGACAGUGUCUGGUGGGUAGUUUGACUGGGGCGGUCUCCUCCUAAAGAGUAACGGAGGAGCACGAAGGUUGGCUAAUCCUGGUCGGACAUCAGGAGGUUAGUGCAAUGGCAUAAGCCAGCUUGACUGCGAGCGUGACGGCGCGAGCAGGUGCGAAAGCAGGUCAUAGUGAUCCGGUGGUUCUGAAUGGAAGGGCCAUCGCUCAACGGAUAAAAGGUACUCCGGGGAUAACAGGCUGAUACCGCCCAAGAGUUCAUAUCGACGGCGGUGUUUGGCACCUCGAUGUCGGCUCAUCACAUCCUGGGGCUGAAGUAGGUCCCAAGGGUAUGGCUGUUCGCCAUUUAAAGUGGUACGCGAGCUGGGUUUAGAACGUCGUGAGACAGUUCGGUCCCUAUCUGCCGUGGGCGCUGGAGAACUGAGGGGGGCUGCUCCUAGUACGAGAGGACCGGAGUGGACGCAUCACUGGUGUUCGGGUUGUCAUGCCAAUGGCACUGCCCGGUAGCUAAAUGCGGAAGAGAUAAGUGCUGAAAGCAUCUAAGCACGAAACUUGCCCCGAGAUGAGUUCUCCCUGAGACUUAGAGUCUCCUGAAGGAACGUUGAAGACGACGACGUUGAUAGGCCGGGUGUGUAAGCGCAGCGAUGCGUUGAGCUAACCGGUACUAAUGAACCGUGAGGCUUAACCUU
This 870-nucleotide ribosomal RNA is filed under the name Salmonella enterica. RNAcentral describes it as "partial 23S ribosomal RNA". It matches the Rfam family "Bacterial large subunit ribosomal RNA", at positions 2061 to 2925 of the family's 2925-position model. RNAcentral also lists the same sequence under 1 other name. The record is from RNAcentral. Lineage: Bacteria; Pseudomonadati; Pseudomonadota; Gammaproteobacteria; Enterobacterales; Enterobacteriaceae.